Molecule: ribosomal RNA, 253 nt
Filed under: uncultured bacterium
Lineage: Bacteria
Description: partial 16S ribosomal RNA
Rfam family: Bacterial small subunit ribosomal RNA
Source: RNAcentral
UACGGGGGGGGCAAGCGUUGUUCGGAAUUACUGGGCGUAAAGGGCUCGUAGGCGGCCAACUAAGUCGGACGUGAAAUCCCCAGGCUCAACCUGGGAACUGCGUCCGAUACUGGAUGGCUUGAAUUCGGGAGAGGGAUGCAGAAUUCCAGGUGUAGCGGUGAAAUGCGUAGAUAUCAGGAGGAACACCGGUGGCGAAGGCGGCUUUCUGGACAGAUACCGACGCUGAGGCACGAAAGCUAGGGGAGCAAACAGG